Molecule: non-coding RNA, 29 nt
Filed under: Mus musculus (house mouse)
Lineage: Eukaryota; Metazoa; Chordata; Mammalia; Rodentia; Muridae
Source: RNAcentral
UACAAAAUUCGAGUGCAUCAGUUCUGUGU